This 30-nucleotide non-coding RNA is filed under the name Homo sapiens (human). The record is from RNAcentral. Lineage: Eukaryota; Metazoa; Chordata; Mammalia; Primates; Hominidae.
UGGAUGAACCAGUGGGGUGAUAGUCAGGGG